Molecule: transfer RNA, 73 nt
Filed under: Danio rerio (zebrafish)
Lineage: Eukaryota; Metazoa; Chordata; Actinopteri; Cypriniformes; Danionidae
Rfam family: tRNA
About the family: Transfer RNA (tRNA) molecules are approximately 80 nucleotides in length. Their secondary structure includes four short double-helical elements and three loops (D, anti-codon, and T loops).
Source: Rfam by way of RNAcentral
GGCUUAGUGGCUUAGUGGUUAGCAUUCUCACCUCAAAGCAAUAAGGUCACUGGUUCGAGUCCUGACUGGGCCA